GGUUUCAAGGACGAGUCAAGGUUGGUUCACUAACAAAAUUCACUCAACAUUUUCUAGAAAACCCUUAAUGCUAUUCUUCCAUAUCAGUACAAUGUGAUAAUAAAAUUUUCAGUUUCCACAAGAUUCUUCCAACUUAAAAACAUCAUAUACGUUUGUAUGUGUGUGCAUUCUUUUUUUCUUUCUUUUAGUAUUUAGAAGUGUAAAAUUUAAUAGCUGAAAUCCUUACAUUAAAUGGCAAGAAAGUCUGAAUGAACCAAACAAACUAUUAAUCAUAUCAACCUAAUCAAAAGCUAAAAACUAAUAAUUAAACAAAACAAUCAGAUCCUAGUUGUGAGAAAAAGAAGAAACCAAGACAGGAAAAGCAAGAUUAAUCCUAAAUCAUUGACAUUUUACAAAUUAAGGAGAAAGUCAAAGAUUCGGC
This 421-nucleotide long non-coding RNA is filed under the name Gossypium barbadense (sea-island cotton). RNAcentral describes it as "long non-coding RNA (GBAR_LNC011288)". The record is from RNAcentral. Lineage: Eukaryota; Viridiplantae; Streptophyta; Magnoliopsida; Malvales; Malvaceae.